ACCACUCUCAGAGUGAACAGCUAAUGAAUCAUAGUAAUUUUUUAAAAUUCAUGAUGUCGUAAGGGAAAAUAAUGAUAAUACCUUACUAUGAGUGUCGUCCAAAUCUGGUGCCAGAAGACUCGGUAAGACCAGAGACGCAAACGUUAAUCAUCAUAAACAGGCGUAAAGGGUUUGUAGGCAGCUUUCACCAAACUAUGAUUACAAAAUAAAGUAGUUUAAUUGAAAGCUAGAAUCAAAAAGAGGUUAUAGUGUAUAACGCCUAGAGGAGGGCUGAUAUCCAUAGAUCCUAGGCAGAAUACUCAGGGCGAAGGCCACUCUCCACUACUGAUUGACGCUGAGAAACGAAGGUUAGGGUAGGAAAUAGGAUUAGAUACCCCGGUACUCCUUUCUGUAAACGAUGAAUGGUAGUCAUUAGUUUUAUAACUAGAGACGAAGUUAACACAAUAACCAUUCCGCCUUGUGAGUACUACUGCAAAGUAGAAAACAAAAAAAUUAGUCGGUCUCGAAGCAAACGGAGUGAAGCAUGUUAUUUAAUUCGUAAUU
RNAcentral lists this ribosomal RNA (543 nucleotides) under Daedalea confragosa. Its description in RNAcentral is "SSU rRNA". It matches the Rfam family "Bacterial small subunit ribosomal RNA", at positions 396 to 958 of the family's 1533-position model. Lineage: Eukaryota; Fungi; Basidiomycota; Agaricomycetes; Polyporales; Fomitopsidaceae. The record is from RNAcentral.